Molecule: long non-coding RNA, 699 nt
Filed under: Homo sapiens (human)
Lineage: Eukaryota; Metazoa; Chordata; Mammalia; Primates; Hominidae
Description: long non-coding RNA NONHSAT179885.1
Source: RNAcentral
AGCAGCCUCUGCCCCCCGUCCCCCCGCAGUACCAGGUUCCCGGGAACCUGAGUGCAGCUCAGGUGGCCGCGCAGAAUGCAGUGGAGGCUGCCAAGAACCAGAAGGCUGGGCUGGGCCCUCGCUUCUCGCCCAUCACCCCUCUCCAACAAGCUGCUCCCGGAGUGGGUCCCCCCUUCAGCCAGGCCCCAGCUCCCCAACUACCCCCAGGACCCCCUGGCGCCCCCAAGCCACCACCUGCUUCCCAGCCCAGUCUGGUCUCCACUGUGGCCCCUGGCUCCGGCCUGGCUCCCACGGCACAGCCCGGGGCACCGUCCAUGGCAGGCACUGUGGCCCCAGGAGGGGUGAGCGGCCCUUCCCCAGCCCAGCUGGGAGCCCCAGCCCUCGGUGGGCAGCAGUCAGUCUCCAAUAAGCUUCUGGCCUGGAGCGGGGUCCUGGAGUGGCAAGAGAAACCCAAACCUGCCUCAGUGGAUGCCAACACCAAGCUGACGCGGUCACUGCCCUGCCAGGUCUACGUGAAUCAUGGCGAGAACCUGUAGGUGACACAGUGGCCCCAGAAGCUGAUCAUGCAGCUCAUCCCCCAGCAGCUGCUGACCACCCUGGGCCCUUUGUUCCGGAACUCAAGGAUGGUCCAGUUCCAUUUCACCAACAAGGACCUGGAGUCUCUCAAAGGCCUCUACCGCAUCAUGGGCAACGGCUUCG